RNAcentral lists this ribosomal RNA (853 nucleotides) under human gut metagenome. Its description in RNAcentral is "bacterial SSU rRNA". It matches the Rfam family "Bacterial small subunit ribosomal RNA", at positions 655 to 1520 of the family's 1533-position model. The record is from RNAcentral.
AGGUAGGCGGAAUAAGUUAAGUAGCGGUGAAAUGCAUAGAUAUAACUUAGAACUCCGAUAGCGAAGGCAGCUUACCAGACUGUAACUGACGCUGAUGCACGAGAGCGUGGGUAGCGAACAGGAUUAGAUACCCUGGUAGUCCACGCCGUAAACGAUGCUCACUGGUUCUGUGCGAUAUAUUGUACGGGAUUAAGCGAAAGUAUUAAGUGAGCCACCUGGGGAGUACGUCGGCAACGAUGAAACUCAAAGGAAUUGACGGGGGCCCGCACAAGCGGAGGAACAUGUGGUUUAAUUCGAUGAUACGCGAGGAACCUUACCUGGGUUUAAAUGGGAAAUGUCGUAUUUGGAAACAGAUAUUCUCUUCGGAGCGUUUUUCAAGGUGCUGCAUGGUUGUCGUCAGCUCGUGCCGUGAGGUGUCGGGUUAAGUCCCAUAACGAGCGCAACCCUUACCGUUAGUUGCUAGCAUGUAAUGAUGAGCACUCUAACGGGACUGCCACCGUAAGGUGAGAGGAAGGCGGGGAUGACGUCAAAUCAGCACGGCCCUUACACCCAGGGCUACACACGUGUUACAAUGGCCGGUACAGAGGGCCGCUACCAGGUGACUGGAUGCCAAUCUCAAAAGCCGGUCGUAGUUCGGAUUGGAGUCUGUAACCCGACUCCAUGAAGUUGGAUUCGCUAGUAAUCGCGCAUCAGCCAUGGCGCGGUGAAUACGUUCCCGGGCCUUGUACACACCGCCCGUCAAGCCAUGGAAGCCGGGGGUGCCUGAAGUCCGUAACCGCGAGGAUCGGCCUAGGGCAAAACUGGUAACUGGGGCUAAGUCGUAACAAGGUAGCCGUACCGGAAGGUGCGGCUG